Molecule: ribosomal RNA, 484 nt
Filed under: uncultured bacterium
Lineage: Bacteria
Description: partial 16S ribosomal RNA
Rfam family: Bacterial small subunit ribosomal RNA
Source: RNAcentral
AUUGAACGCUGGCGGCAUGCUUUACACAUGCAAGUCGAACGGCAGCGCGGGCUUCGGCCUGGCGGCGAGUGGCGAACGGGUGAGUAAUGCAUCGGAACGUGCCCAGUAGUGGGGGAUAGCCCGGCGAAAGCCGGAUUAAUACCGCAUACGCCCUGAGGGUGAAAGCGGGGGACCGAAAGGCCUCGCGCUAUUGGAGCGGCCGAUGUCGGAUUAGCUAGUUGGUGGGGUAAAGGCUUACCAAGGCGACGAUCCGUAGAUGGUCUGAGAGGACGACCAGCCACACUGGGACUGAGACACGGCCCAGACUCCGACGGGAGGCAGCAGUGGGGAAUUUUGGACAAAGGGGGCAACCCUGAUCCAGCCAUGCCGCGUGCGGGAAGAAGGCCUUCGGGUUGUAAACCGCUUUUGUUCGGGAAGAAAUCCUCUGGGCUAAUACCCCGGGGGGAUGACGGUACCGGAAGAAUAAGCACCGGCUAACUACGUG